GUGGGGAAUAUUGGACAAUGGGCGGAAGCCUGAUCCAGCCAUGCCGCGUGUGUGAAGAAGGCCUUUUGGUUGUAAAGCACUUUAAGCGAGGAGGAGGCUCUUAAGGUUAAUACCCUUGAUGAGUGGACGUUACUCGCAGAAUAAGCACCGGCUAACUCUGUGCCAGCAGCCGCGGUAAUACAGAGGGUGCGAGCGUUAAUCGGAUUUACUGGGCGUAAAGCGUGCGUAGGCGGCUGAUUAAGUCGGAUGUGAAAUCCCUGAGCUUAACUUAGGAAUUGCAUUCGAUACUGGUCAGCUAGAGUAUGGGAGAGGAUGGUAGAAUUCCAGGUGUAGCGGUGAAAUGCGUAGAGAUCUGGAGGAAUACCGAUGGCGAAGGCAGCCAUCUGGCCUAAUACUGACGCUGAGGUACGAAAGCAUGGGGAGCAAACAGGAUUAGAAACCCGAGUAGUCC
This 451-nucleotide ribosomal RNA is filed under the name uncultured bacterium. RNAcentral describes it as "partial 16S ribosomal RNA". It matches the Rfam family "Bacterial small subunit ribosomal RNA", at positions 354 to 796 of the family's 1533-position model. The record is from RNAcentral.